Molecule: long non-coding RNA, 1028 nt
Filed under: Felis catus (domestic cat)
Lineage: Eukaryota; Metazoa; Chordata; Mammalia; Carnivora; Felidae
Description: lncRNA (ENSFCAG00000049273.1)
Source: RNAcentral
AUUUUAUUGUGGAAGAGGAAUUAGAACGACAGUUUGGUCCGACUCUGUUUUCUUUAAGCGUUGUCCUGGUAGAGCCAGAAAGGUACAGCUGAUUUUUUUCCAACUGACACAAAAGGAGUCCCACCAGGGGCGGAAAAGGCAUUUUUCCUCGAGGAGCUGGCUGGGUGCAGCUCAUUCCCAUGGAGAGAAGAAAGAAGGAACGAGCAACUUCUAAACCAUGCAGCAGUGUCAUGACUUAUGUUUCACUGCUUAAAUUCUUUAAGACAAUUUUCCUCUUACUGAGUCCAAGGUUAGGUGAGAGGAUUGUUGUUUGGGUUGUUUUUUUUUUCUUCUUCAUGCUAAUGAAAUAUCUCUCUUUAUCUUUCAUAAGACUGUUUCAUCACUUAUACAUUGGGAUUUACUUUGGUCAGAUGAAUUUGUAUAACUCAGCUAACCUUUGAAAGGUGGGGAAAAGAAACUGUUUAGAAAAAAAGAAAGAAAGAAAACCUGUGUUGGGCUGUACUUACACACACACACACACACACACACACACACACACACACACACACACAAAACUUUCUUUCACCUGGAGACCACCAAGAUUGUAUGGAUGGUGGAGAGCUGGUCUGGAUUUUGUUUGGAUUGGGUAUUUUUAUUUUUAAUACUUGUCUCCUGAGUCAGAAGUGGUUAUCUCUUAAAAGAAAAAUUUGAUGGCUUGAAAGCUGGGUGUUUGUGCUUUCCCCUUCGAAUGUUAACAUUUAAGUAGCCUUCAGUGUGCUUCAAAGUUAGCACCCCACUAAGAUAAAUUAGUGACCUUCCCCCUACCCCACCGUGCCCCCAUGCACUGGUGCAGUUACCUCCCUGAGGCUCUCUGGGAGCCCCCUCUGGCCUGAAAUGGGCAAUUCGGUAGGAGACUCAGUCAAUCUGGGUGGCGUGAAUGCCUUGCCAGGACAAUGGUGGCUUUUCAUGAGGAUUUAGUAAUCUGAAGAAUGCAGCAGCCUGUCCUUGAGAGGAACCUGCUUCUGUUGAUAUGUUUAUGUGGUUUCCGG